AGAGUUUGAUCCUGGCUCAGGAUGAACGCUAGCUACAGGCUUAACACAUGCAAGUCGAGGGGCAGCAUGGUCUUAGCUUGCUAAGGCCGAUGGCGACCGGCGCACGGGUGAGUAACACGUAUCCAACCUGCCGUCUACUCUUGGACAGCCUUCUGAAAGGAAGAUUAAUACAAGAUGGCAUCAUGAGUCCACAUGUUCACAUGAUUAAAGGUAUUCCGGUAGACGAUGGGGAUGCGUUCCAUUAGGUAGUAGGCGGGGUAACGGCCCACCUAGUCUUCGAUGGAUAGGGGUUCUGAGAGGAAGGUCCCCCACAUUGGAACUGAGACACGGUCCAAACUCCUACGGGAGGCAGCAGUGAGGAAUAUUGGUCAAUGGGCGAGAGCCUGAACCAGCCAAGUAGCGUGAAGGAUGACUGCCCUAUGGGUUGUAAACUUCUUUUAUAAAGGAAUAAAGUCGGGUAUGCAUACCCGUUUGCAUGUACUUUAUGAAUAAGGAUCGGCUAACUCCGUGCCAGCAGCCGCGGUAAUACGGAGGAUCCGAGCGUUAUCCGGAUUUAUUGGGUUUAAAGGGAGCGUAGAUGGAUGUUUAAGUCAGUUGUGAAAGAUUGCGGCUCAACCGUAAAAUUGCAGUUGAUACUGGAUAUCUUGAGUGCAGUUGAGGCAGGCGGAAUUCGUGGUGUAGCGGUGAGAUGCUUAGAUAUCACGAAGAACUCCGAUUGCGAAGGCAGCCUGCUAAGCUGCAACUGACAUUGAGGCUCGAAAGUGUGGGUAUCAAACAGGAUUAGAUACCCUGGUAGUCCACACGGUAAACGAUGAAUACUCGCUGUUUGCGAUAUACUGCAAGCGGCCAAGCGAAAGCGUUAAGUAUUCCACCUGGGGAGUACGCCGGCAACGGUGAAACUCAAAGGAAUUGACGGGGGCCCGCACAAGCGGAGGAACAUGUGGUUUAAUUCGAUGAUACGCGAGGAACCUUACCCGGGCUCAAACGACAGGGGAAUAAUCCCGAAAAGGAUUAGCCAGCAAUGGCCGCUGUCGAGGUGCUGCAUGGUUGUCGUCAGCUCGUGCCGUGAGGUGUCGGCUUAAGUGCCAUAACGAGCGCAACCCUUACCGGUAGUUACUAACAGGUCAAGCUGAGGACUCUACCGGGACUGCCAGCGCAAGCUGUGAGGAAGGUGGGGAUGACGUCAAAUCAGCACGGCCCUUACGUCCGGGGCGACACACGUGUUACAAUGGCAGGUACAGAGAGUCGCGUCGUAGCAAUACGUAGCCAAUCCCGAAAACCUGUCUCAGUUCGGAUCGGAGUCUGCAACUCGACUCCGUGAAGCUGGAUUCGCUAGUAAUCGCGCAUCAGCCAUGGCGCGGUGAAUACGUUCCCGGGCCUUGUACACACCGCCCGUCAAG
RNAcentral lists this ribosomal RNA (1400 nucleotides) under uncultured bacterium. RNAcentral describes it as "bacterial SSU rRNA". It matches the Rfam family "Bacterial small subunit ribosomal RNA". The record is from RNAcentral.